CCCUUAGAUGUUCUGGGCCGCACGCGUGCUACACUGAGUGGAUCAGCGGGUCAGGUUGCGCGAAAGUGUUUCCUAAUCUUUAAAUCCGCUCGUGAUGGGGAUUGACGGUUGCAAUUUUCCGUCAUGAACGAGGAAUACCUUGUAAGCGCGGGUCAUCAUCCCGCGCUGAAUACGUCCCUGCCCUUUGUACACACCGCCCGUCGCUACUACCGAUUGAAUGGUUUAGUGAGAUCUUCGGAUUGGCGCCAUCGUGGCUUCGCGGCCAUGACGGAUGGCCGAAAAGUUGAUCAAACUUGAUCAUUUAGAGGAAGUAAAAGUCGUAACA
RNAcentral lists this ribosomal RNA (325 nucleotides) under uncultured eukaryote. Its description in RNAcentral is "partial 18S ribosomal RNA". It matches the Rfam family "Eukaryotic small subunit ribosomal RNA", at positions 1470 to 1796 of the family's 1831-position model. The record is from RNAcentral.